This 580-nucleotide ribosomal RNA is filed under the name uncultured bacterium. Its description in RNAcentral is "partial 16S ribosomal RNA". It matches the Rfam family "Bacterial small subunit ribosomal RNA", at positions 355 to 1376 of the family's 1533-position model. The record is from RNAcentral.
UAAGGAAUAUUGGUCAAUGGACGCAAGUCUGAACCAGCCAUGCCGCGUGAAGGAUGAAGGUCCUCUGGAUUGUAAACUUCUUUUAUAGGGGGCGAAAAAAGGGAAAUCUUUCUCACUUGACAGUACCCUAUGAAUAAGCACCGGCUAACUCCGUGCCAGCAGCCGCGGUAAUACGGAGGGUGCAAGCGUUAUCCGGAUUCACUGGGUUUAAAGGGUGCGUAGGCGGGCGUAUAAGUCAGUGGUGAAAUCCUGGAGCUUAACUCCAGAACUGCCAUUGAUACUAUAUGUCUUGAAUAUGGUGGAGGUAAGCGGAAUAUGUCAUGUAGCGGUGAAAUGCAUAGAUAUGACAUAGAACACCUAUUGCGAAGGCAGCUUACUACGCCUAUAUUGACGCUGAGGCACGAAAGCGUGGGGAUCAAACAGGAUUAGAUACCCUGGUAGUCCACGCCCUAAACGAUGAUUACUCGACGUGUGCGAUAAACGGUACGCGUCUGAGCGAAAGCAUUAAGUAAUCCACCUGGGGAAGUACGACCGCAAGGUUGAAACUCAAAUGAAUUGACGGGGUCAUAGCUGUUUCCUG